UUCCAGACUCCUACGGGAGGCAGCAGUGAGGAAUAUUGGUCAAUGGGCGGAAGCCUGAACCAGCCAAGUCGCGUGAGGGAAUAAGGCCCUACGGGUCGUAAACCUCUUUUGCCGGGGAGCAAGGGCGGGGACGUGUCCCGGCCCGGAGAGUACCCGGAGAAAAAGCAUCGGCUAACUCCGUGCCAGCAGCCGCGGUAAUACGGAGGAUGCGAGCGUUAUCCGGAUUUAUUGGGUUUAAAGGGUGCGCAGGGGGAGGCACAGGUCGGGGGUAAAAUCGCGGGGCUCAACCCCGCUCCGCCGUUGAAACUGUGUCCCUUGAGUGCGCGAAGGGUAGGCGGAAUGCGUGGUGUAGCGGUGAAAUGCAUAGAUAUCACGCAGAACUCCGAUCGCGAAGGCAGCCUACCGGCGCGCAACUGACGCUCAUGCACGAAAGCGUGGGUAUCGAACAGGAUUAGAUACCCUCGUA
This 466-nucleotide ribosomal RNA is filed under the name uncultured bacterium. RNAcentral describes it as "bacterial SSU rRNA". It matches the Rfam family "Bacterial small subunit ribosomal RNA", at positions 329 to 792 of the family's 1533-position model. The record is from RNAcentral.